GACGAACGCUGGCGGCGUGCCUAAUACAUGCAAGUAGAACGCUGACGGAGGAGCUUGCUUCUCUGGCUGAGUUCCGAACGGGUGAGUAACGCGUAGGUAACCUGCCUUGUAGCGGGGGAUAACUAUUGGAAACGAUAGCUAAUACCGCAUAAGAGUAGAUGUUGCAUGACAUUUGCUUAAAAGGUGCAAUUGCAUCACUACAAGAUGGACCUGCGUUGUAUUAGCUAGUUGGUGGGGUAAAGGCUCACCAAUGCGACUGUACAUAGCCGACCUGAGAGGGGGAUCGGCCAAACUGGGACGGAGACACGGCCCAGACUCCUACGGGAGGCAGCCGUAGGGAAUCUUCGGAAAUGGACGGAAGGCUGACCGAGCAACGACGCGGGAGUGAAGAAAGUUUUCGGAUCGUAAAGCUCUGUUGUAAGAGAAGAAAGAGUGUGAGGGUGGAAAGUUCACGCUGUGACGGUAUCUUACCAGAAAGCGACGGCUAACUACGUG
RNAcentral lists this ribosomal RNA (495 nucleotides) under uncultured bacterium. Its description in RNAcentral is "partial 16S ribosomal RNA". It matches the Rfam family "Bacterial small subunit ribosomal RNA", at positions 28 to 507 of the family's 1533-position model. The record is from RNAcentral.